Molecule: ribosomal RNA, 482 nt
Filed under: uncultured bacterium
Lineage: Bacteria
Description: partial 16S ribosomal RNA
Rfam family: Bacterial small subunit ribosomal RNA
Source: RNAcentral
GACGAACGCUGGCGGCGUGCUUAACACAUGCAAGUCGAACGAUGAAGAAGAGAAACGCGAACUUCGGUUCAAAUUUCACUUCGGAUUAGUGGCAGACGGGUGAGUAACGCGUGAGCAACCUACCUCUUACAAAGGGAUAGCCUCGGGAAACCGUGAUUAAUACCAUAUGACACAUUCAUAAGGCAUCUUAAGAAUGUUAAAGCUACGGCGGUAAGGGAUGGGCUCGCGUCCCAUUAGCUAGUUGGUGAGGUAACGGCCCACCAAGGCGACGAUGGGUAACCGGCCUGAGAGGGUGGACGGUCACAUUGGAACUGGGACACGGUCCAAACUCCUACAGGAGGCAGCAGUGGGGAAUAUUGCACAAUGGAGGGAACUAUGAUGCCGCGACGCCGCGUGAGCGAUGAAGGAAUUCGUUUCGUAAAGCUCUGUUCUAUGGGAAGAAAAGGACUGUACCAUAGGAGAAAGCCCCGGCUAAAUACGUG